GUACACUCCUACGGGAGGCAGCAGUGGGGAAUAUUGGACAAUGGGCGCAAGCCUGAUCCAGCCAUGCCGCGUGAGUGAUGAAGGCCCUAGGGUUGUAAAGCUCUUUCACCGGUGAAGAUAAUGACGGUAACCGGAGAAGAAGCCCCGGCUAACUUCGUGCCAGCAGCCGCGGUAAUACGAAGGGGGCUAGCGUUGUUCGGAUUUACUGGGCGUAAAGCGCACGUAGGCGGACUAUUAAGUCAGGGGUGAAAUCCCGGGGCUCAACCCCGGAACUGCCUUUGAUACUGGUAGUCUUGAGUUCGAGAGAGGUGAGUGGAAUUCCGAGUGCAGAGGUGAAAUUCGUAGAUAUUCGGAGGAACACCAGUGGCGAAGGCGGCUCACUGGCUCGAUACUGACGCUGAGGUGCGAAAGCGUGGGGAGCAAACAGGAUUAGAAACCCGAGUAGUCCCA
This 450-nucleotide ribosomal RNA is filed under the name uncultured organism. RNAcentral's name for it is "partial 16S ribosomal RNA". It matches the Rfam family "Bacterial small subunit ribosomal RNA", at positions 331 to 797 of the family's 1533-position model. The record is from RNAcentral.